Molecule: ribosomal RNA, 253 nt
Filed under: uncultured bacterium
Lineage: Bacteria
Description: partial 16S ribosomal RNA
Rfam family: Bacterial small subunit ribosomal RNA
Source: RNAcentral
UACGUAGGGAGCAAGCGUUGUCCGGAAUCAUUGGGCGUAAAGAGCGCGUAGGCGGUCCGGUAAGUCGGUUGUGAAAACUGGGGGCUCAACCCUCAGACGCCGACCGAUACUGUCGGGCUAGAGUCCGGAAGAGGCGAGUGGAAUUCCUGGUGUAGCGGUGAAAUGCGUAGAGAUCGGGAGGAACACCAGAGGCGAAGGCGGCGACCUGGACAAGUACUGACACUCAACUACGAAAGCGUGGGGAGCAAACAGG